Brachypodium distachyon (stiff brome) is the source of this 2235-nucleotide long non-coding RNA. RefSeq lists it as uncharacterized. Lineage: Eukaryota; Viridiplantae; Streptophyta; Magnoliopsida; Poales; Poaceae. The record is from RefSeq and is a predicted model, not a curated record. The transcript has 2 exons.
AAUAAGCGUCACCGGAUCCGACCCUUUGAGAGCCGUGCCACCUCUGUACUGGGUGUUAAUGUCAUGAGUCUGUAUCUUUGCAUAUGCGGAUGCUUAUGCCUUAAUUCCUGUCGUUCGAUGCAAUGUUUCUUUGGGUCAUAAACUUAUCAUCUGCGAGCUAAGUACUCUGAAAUCCUGAACUGGUGAUAAUAAUAUGCAGUGUUCUGCUUCUGUGAGUUAUGUGUGUUACGUUCUUGACACACGAUGUUUGUGAGAUUUUGCUAACUUCUCUGAUUUUGUAAUGAUUUUGCGGUCAAAUAUAAUAGAUGGUAUGAACCAGUGUGAAAUUGGGAGAGUGGCUGCCUUUUUCUUUCUUAGUAUAUCAGCAUAUCACAGGCAUAUUGAUAAUGUGUACUUCCCUUCCGUAGUAAACCAAUGCUGCCGGAAGUUUGUUCAAGCUUACAUAGCUGUUUGUGCUGUUGGUACGGUGAUCUCUCUGUAUGUCUAUGACACUGAAAGUUUCGCUCCAAUUCUAAUACAUGCUGGUCUACAUUAUGCCACAAUUACAGAUAUUGAUGGUGAGUUCUACGAUGGUUUUACUCCUAGAGCCUUGUCCAGUCAAUAUUGGGUCUUCUGAUGCAAAGUCCAUGGCAUUGUCAUCACGGGAUGGCUACUGCGCUAAUAUCGAUUUUGAGAAUGAGGAUCUGGGGAAUCCCCAUAUCACUCUGGUAUUUUAUAUCUAUUCCUUUCUAUGUUUCUUCUCUUUCUGGGAGGGGGGUUUUCCUAAUAGUCUAUCAUUUAAAACUAUGUAGAUAGCAAAGGUGCUUUCGUUCUUGUGGAACAAGAAGCCCUCGUACCUUAAUGAAAGGAAAAUCGUAAUUUUUCGUUAGGUAUUUGACCAAAUAGGCCAAAUAACCUUACCUGUUAUCCGCAAAAAAAUAAAAUAAAGCCUUACUUGUUGUCCAUUUGUUACGGACUCAAAUUUCAGCUUGCCAAUAAUCCCAAAGUCUUAGCCGUAACUCUGAUUAAAUUGCAUCAUUCAAACAUGAUUGCUAUCGUCUUGUUGAGUUGCCAUUUCUGGGACUAACAGGUACUCCCUCCGUCACAUAAUUCUUGUCGCCAUUUUAGUUCAAAUUUGAACUAAAACAAAUUUAGCACCAUAUAUUCUAAUUAGUUUGUUAUUUUGAUUUUACAAACAUCUUUUGCCAGUUUAGAAAAUUGGCAAUUUUAUCAAAACGAGCAUAAUUUUGAGAUUGAAUAGGUGGCAUAACAUAUUAAAAUACUAAUUAAAGAUAUUUCAUGGUGAAAGUUGCUGUUGAGCUGCAUGUUGUUGAGUAUUUUAAUUUCAUAGCUCAAAGUUUAUCUGCAAUUUGUAUCAAUGUAAAAUCUAUGGUUAGCAUAACAUCUUUCGAAGUGGUCAUAAGUAAUUUAUACACCAUAGCCAGAACUAGUUGUAUCAAAUGACAAUACUUGAAUGCAACUGCCAUGCAAAGGAUUAGGGGUACUAUUGUAAUGCAUGACUACUUAACUAGAGACUAACUGGGCACCUUAGGCAAGAUGCCCAGCCAAGUCGCCUUGGCCCAUGACGGGCCAUGAGCCCUCCACUCCGCUAUAUCUUUUGAGGUGAUACUUUUACUAGUUGACCCGCCUCGCGUCCGAGGGACAAUGCCACCACAAAACACUGAGAACAUUCUGACUCGCCAAGCACUAGCACGCUCGAUUUGAAUUGCCUGUGGAUACCUUCGAGACAUUGCACAUGCGAUGCUGGGACAUUCAUGUACUUCCGUGAGGCAGAGAGGAAAGGAAAGCGUGACUACUUCCACUGCGACGCGCUUCACUAACUCUGCUUCCGCUAGUCUGUAUGUCUAGUGGUAAUCCCAUGGUCAACAUCUUGCGGUUAUUCUUGGUAAACGAUGUACAAAUUUUUGAAAUUGCGCUAGAGUAGCCUAUGUGUUCCCCUUCAGGUAGCUCCCACUCCCAACAUGCUCCGGCCGGCAGAGCCAUCGGAGAAGAGAGGUAGAGGGGGGUGCGAGGGCAGCGGGAGGAAGAGAACAGAAAUCUCGAGAGCUCGCAGGAAAGAGAAAGAGAUUCAAGUCUGAACUGGGAUUGUUUACGUCUUCUUGCAGUUGUCUGUAGUCUGCAUUAAGGAGUGAAGAACACUGAUAUUGAUACUAAUGAGUUGUAUGUGGAGUUGAAAUUACUCCAAAAAAUUUCAUUACAAAGGGAAAUAUGUGGCCGGUUGAUAGUUUGAAUUUU